AGCGAACGCUGGCGGCAGGCUUAACACAUGCAAGUCGAGCGGGCACUUUCGGGUGUCAGCGGCGGACGGGUGAGUAACGCGUGGGAACGUGCCCUCUGGUUCGGAAUAACUCAGUGAAACUUGAGCUAAUACCGGAUACGCCCUUUGGGGGAAAGGCUGUCUGCCGGAGGAUCGGCUCGCGUCUGAUUAGCUAGGUGGUGAGGUAACGGCUCACCAAGGCGACGAUCAGUAGCUGGUCUGAGAGGAUGAUCCGCCACACUGGGACUGAGACACGGCCCAGACUCCUACGGGAAGCAGCAGUGGGGAAUAUUGGACAAUGGGCGCAAGCCUGAUCCAGCCAUGCCGGGUGAGUGAUGAAGGCCUUAGGGUUGUACAGCUCUUUUAUCCGGGACGAUAAUGACGGUACCGGAGGAAUAAGCCCCGGCUAACUUCGUG
Molecule: ribosomal RNA, 435 nt
Filed under: uncultured bacterium
Lineage: Bacteria
Description: partial 16S ribosomal RNA
Rfam family: Bacterial small subunit ribosomal RNA
Source: RNAcentral